Long non-coding RNA from Triticum aestivum (bread wheat), 5667 nucleotides. RefSeq lists it as uncharacterized. Lineage: Eukaryota; Viridiplantae; Streptophyta; Magnoliopsida; Poales; Poaceae. The record is from RefSeq and is a predicted model, not a curated record. The transcript has 3 exons.
GCGACCCUCAAUAGACGUACGAAGAUUAACCUGCGACAAAAAAAACCUACGACGGUUAACCAGUGACGAGUCCUGUUCUCCCUACCUUCGUGGCCGCCCUACGCCUCCCUUCGCUGCCCUCCAUCCUCGCCGCCCUCCAUCCUGGUCGAGGCAGUCGCCCCGCUUCACUCGUCGUCCUCCAUCCGCGUCGACCACCGCCCCCCGCCUUCCCCUACCUCUCGCUCAGCCACCUCCACCACCCCCACCCUUCUCCCCAAUGUCGGAUCCGCUUGCAGAUCGUCAAGUUAGGUGGCGGAGCUCCACGUCAAUGAAGCUGCUCCCGGAUCUGCGGUUGCGCGGCUGUGGCGGAAGGGGCUCGAGGUGGCCGCCGUCGCCGCGGAAGACCAAUCCCCCACCUUGUCCAGAAUCGCUUCCUCCGCCAUGUUCCACCGAGGAAGGUAAGAGCCCUGCACACGAUCCCGACGACAUCAGGGUCUUCACAUCGCCUCCACCUCCUCGGCGCCCUCACGUCGCCGUCCUUCCUCCACCCCGAUCUCCUCCGAGCCCUGCCGCCUCCGAGCUCAGGACCUAGCCGACGCCGACCUCUCCUCGGCGUCCCCACGCCGCCAUCCUCUCCUCCACGAUCUCCUAGAGCCCUGCCGCUGCUAUCACGUCCGACCUCACAACUCACCAACCUUUCUCAGGUUUGGACCAUUCCUUCACCAUUUUUUCAGAUCUGCGCUCAAAUUAUUCUAUUGGCUGAACACCAAGUCCGGAGGAGGAGAACGCCUGUGUCAGGUUUCAGCUAUCUCCCGAGAUCAGUAGCAUACUACUAGCAUAUAUGAUCUGGUUCUGAACUCACAGGGAGCACCCGUAUGAUCUGGUUCUGAACUCACAGGAAACAGCCUAAAUUUGUUACUUUGUAAUGCAGUGAAAAUACAUGCAUUCGGCGUUCAGGACUAAACAGGAAAGAACCUGAACCCCAAGGUGGCACUCAGUUUUCUGUGUUUCAGUCGCAGUGCAAGGUCAGCAUCCUCUUUUGUUUGGCGGUAAUAAUCAGUAACAUCUUAAUGCGCAUUCUAUUGUUUUUUAAAGAUAAUAUGGAUGCAGCUCAAUUCCAAUCUGACACUUGUUAAGAUUUUCACACGUUAAUUUAUGCCAAGAUAGCAGACAUGAAGUUAAUGUAUGCUCAAGUUAAUGUGGAUGAGAGUGGCUGAAUGCACCAUCAAUGGAUGUGAAUUUCUCACUGUUACUGGUUUUUAUUUGUUCAGUUGCAGGCACUCUACAUGGACGAGAAUUUAUCACUAUCACUGGUUUUGUUUCUUCAGUAAAAAGCAUUGUCUACUACCUAUCGAGUUGAAACUGAUGAAGUUGUUUAUGUAGUUAUUAGCCCUAUAAAUAGCAAUGCGUGUGUUGCAUCUGAUGUGCAUGAGUUCAACCUAGCAAGCUCCUGGGAGAAGAAAAACAGAGCCACAACAGCCCUGACGAAGAUCUCCAUCUGUGGUCCGAGGACCAACCAUGACGUCGAGCUGCUACAGCUUGGAGUCAGGAGUCGUGUUCGCACCCCGGCGUGUCCCAGUAUGUGCUUUGGAAGAGAUGCGUCAAUCUCAGAAGACCCUGAUGCGUCCACAUUAUUUGCUUCAGAAAUAGAUAGCAGCUCUCCGAUGUAGUAAGGAGAAAGCAAGAAUGACAGAGCAUCCUCGUGUCAAACUGAACACACCCUGACACUUCUCCAUUAUUUAAUUCAGAAACAGGGAGAAACAACUGCUAUCUCUGAAUAUAUUUAAGGUUGUUUCUCUUAUCUCUAUUCUGAUGUACAUGCAUCUUCCCUUGCUAUCUUCCAUACAUAUAUGUGCUAGAACCCAUGCCUUUUUUUCCUGUAAAUGUGCGACAGAUAUGUGCAGCAAAGUAGUCUUCAUGUGAGAGGAAGCAAAGAAGGUAUGAGGCUAUGCAAUAAUGCUCCAUGUUAGUUGGAAGUCCAAUCUCGGCUUGAGUACCGCUCUUUAAGCAAAAUUACUAGCAACAUAUCUUAUCCUAGAUGAUUCUUGCUUAAACAACUUUAGAAGCACAACUAUCAGUAUGUGCACUUAAUAAAAUGCAAUUCUGAGUGCAGAUGCUGAAAAUAUUUUGGAAAUUAUACAUUAUUCAAUCUCCCAGUUUGUGAUUUGCUUUUUGUUUAUGAAAAGGUGUGACGAAAUCUUUUGUUUAUGUUUUCCAGAAAUGUACAAACGAGUGGCAUGUGUCAUCUAUAGCAUGUCUCCUUUGUGUGAAAUGUACAUGCAACUCUUGACAGCUACUAACAUGAAGUUGCACUCAGACUCUCGCAUGGACUAAAGAGUUAUUGUCGGUAUGUACCACUGUUUAAUUUUUACAGUCCAUAGGUUUAUUUAUAUGGCCAGUAUUGAUCUCAAGGACAACAUACUGUAAUUUCCUCUAUUACUUGUCAAUAUUUCUGUAACUACAGUCACUCACAUUCAAAAUUUUAUUUAGAGGAACUACAACAUGUAUUUUACUGACUUGGACAUUGAACUAAGGAAUACAAAAGGUUCAAGGCAUAUGCGGAUAAUUGAAGUUUUAUAUUUGUGGACAAGGGAGACCUGCCUAAAUUAGAAGGUAGAGUAGGAAUCAGUGGGUUCCUGCUGACAGUGGUUGCAAGCACAUAGGGAUAGGAAAUGAAGAUGAGAUCAAAUCUCCUCAUUCCAUCUCAUCUCGGUUCCUGGCGAAUGGGGUUCGGGUUGAGUUGUUCGUUUGAUCGACCACAAUUUUUGGGUGCUUAUGAAAUAUGCAACGCAUGUACUGCGAAGCGAGAUAUUUAAUUUGAUUUUCUUGGGUAAACCAUACUCUUGACAUUCCAAAAUCUCUACUAUUAAAGGUGUAAUUUGAUUGUUUAACUUCAUACUUUGACCAUAAAUCUCUGAAAAAUAUUUAAUUGACUGUUAAAAGUCGUAAUCAUAAGAAAGUGAGUUUGUGGUUGUUGAAUGAAAUAUUUUUUCCUAUGUAUGGUUGCCUGCACCUGCACCUGUUCGAUCUCCUCUAUUUCAGAUCCUAUCUCAGACCGAGUUAUUUAGUGCCAAAUUCGUCAAAAAUUAGUACUGAAUUAUUAGCAGUUAGUACUGGUCUAUUGAGUGUUGAAUACACCAUUCUUAAGCUUGUCAUUGUAAACCUAUUGCAAAACUUGCUUAUUUAUUGUCAAUUCCAUCCUCUUUUGAAACAAAGAUUCUGAAUGUUCAAAAUUUAUGUCAUAUAUGUUGUAUUCUUGGUCCAUUUGUUUUACAAAAUAUUAAAAAAUGGUCGCCGGCCACAUCGGCGUAAGAAGAGCAGGCAACUCACGAGAUUCGUCCAAGAGGGGAAGAGAGAGGGAGGAGGAGGAUACGUCCGUCCGCGCGGGUGCUACUGGUUAAUCUUAUGUCAAAACUGCUCUUACCUGACGAGAAAACUAAGAUGUGCAGCUGCAUGGUGUUUAUCUUAUGUCCAAACUGUUUUCAGUUAGCUUCUAAGAAUAUGGUAUAAUACAUUAGAAUAUAUUAUAUUGUGCAUGCAUCCAACUCGGAAGGACUCAUGAAUUCUGCUGAAAAAACACUCAUUCUAAAUAACCUUCCCAUGGAACUGCUUGAUCUGUAUGCAAUGUGUCGUCUCUGAUUCUACAGCAAUUGAGUUUGUGCUGGGAUCGCACAAAUGGCCUGCUGCUCGGUGUUCAGUGUGCUGUUUGAUGAGUACUUGCGGUGCUUGUAGGCCCAGGCACCCAGCGGAGCAAGUGCCGGUCCCGGGUGCCCUACUAAAUCAUGUUUUCUUAGCUCUACUGAUUAGCGUCGGUGAACUAAGAUUAAUCUGGAUGUGUGCAAGGUUUCCUUUGUUUCUGCUUGGUCACUAAACUGCACGCCAAUGUGGCCUUUGUAUACUCAAUUGAAGAAUGGAUGUUUCCCCUUUACUGUGCAUCAUGCUACGACUACAAGGCAACUCAAAUUUAGUUUCAGUUUUCUUCAGUGCGGAUCAGUAAGCUGUUUAUCUUACUUUCACUUUUAAAUUGUUUGCUCUAUCACUACACGCAUGUGUUCCUAUCUACGUCAUUUCUCUUAAUUCUAAGAUGUUAUGAAUAGGUUAUGAGAGUGGAUUUCUACUCUCAGGUGUACUACACCCGAGUUUGCAAACAAUUGGGAAAACGCAAUCAAACAAAGUUGAAAAACUCUGAAAAUUUGAGACAUCAGACUUUAUCAAAUAUUCGAGCUUCUUGCAAAAUUUCAGCCAAAAAUAACAUCUGAGGAGUUCUCGCCAAAAAACAAAAUCAAUGUUCAAAGUUUUGUGCACUGUUUGAGCAGUGAUUUUGUUUUUUAUGGUGAGAGCUCCUCGGAUGUUAUUUUUUGCUCAAAUUUUGCAAGAAGCUCAAACAAUUGAAUAUUAUUUUUGUCUCAAAAUUUCAGAUUUUUUGGAUUUGUUUUAUCACGUUUUUCAGUUUUUUUGAAAUUGGGUGUACUACACUCGAGAGUUGUCACACCUUUCUAUAUGUCUCGUGGUUUUGUGUCUUAUGCCUUGGAAGCUUUUUCACAAUGCACACAUGCAAAGUCCUUUCAUUUUCCUCCUGCACACCAUCUCUCUCUGUAUCCUCAGUCGCGUACUAUAACAUUUGACAACAAGUAUGUGUUGUGUUGGUCUCAAUGGGCUGGCACAGUACUGCAGACUAUGGCUAAAGGCUAUGUUUACAAACAUAAAUUAAUGAUUCAAAGAAGAGGAGCAGAUGGUGAUACGAUAUUUACCUCAAGGUUGAUCAAUCAGUGAACCGAGGGACUUAUUAUUCGGUGAGGCCAGCGGGCUAUUCCAUUUCCUGCGUUUCCUCUUCAGUAUGUUGACUCCAAUCUCCAGAGUCCUGGAUGCUUCUUUCUUAGUCCAUUUAAAUGGGUAAUUGUGUUUACCAGUUGGUACACGUUUUUCUUUCAAUAUGCUUUUUUUGUUCUUCAAAUUGAUUUGUUGAUGGUACAAGGGAAUCAUUGAAAAAAUGUCUUCUCAUCAAGGAUUGGACUGUGUUCUCAUUAUAGAACAUAAUUUAUUAUGUGAGGCAUUUGCCAUUGCAACAUCUUGCCUAGGGUAUAUUUUUUCCCACUAAACUGAACUGCCUCGCAAACAAAUUAUAUGUAAUACCCCCCUUCUCCAUAAAUAAAUAACAUCUGCUCCGGCAGUAGGUCAUGCUUGGCAGAAUUGCCUCCUCCCGGUCUUCAGCACUUCUGCAGGAAUUGAGCGCCAGUGUGGUCGGGCCACAUAGAACACCAACAAGCGACAACAACACACCACUCCAAUAUGCAACCAGAGUUUGGGCAAUGAUCAAAACAUGGCUUGGUUUAUAUGAUGUUCAUCCUACGGAUUGGGGAGGCAUGGUUUCCGUCAAGGAGUGGUGGUGCAGCAACACUUGCGGGAGGUCGCAAUCUCGAAGGCCGCUUCUUUCCCUUAUUCUUAUCUCUUGGGAAAUCUGGAAUGAGCGAAAUGCUCGGGUGUUCUUCAACAAUGCGACUCCGGUCGUUGUGCUUGUGACACACAUCAAAGUGGAGGCAUCAUCGGGUUGCCUUGCCGGGUGAAAUAUUUGUGUAAUAUAAUGCCACAAGAGUGAUUCUUAAAAUCUUCUUCUUAUUCAAUGAAAAUGACAAGCCUUUUGACUUGUUUCAAACAAAAUAUAAACCCGAAUGGAUUGAAAUGUUUAAU